Molecule: transfer RNA, 74 nt
Filed under: Priapulus caudatus
Lineage: Eukaryota; Metazoa; Priapulida; Priapulimorpha; Priapulimorphida; Priapulidae
Description: tRNA-Asn
Rfam family: tRNA
About the family: Transfer RNA (tRNA) molecules are approximately 80 nucleotides in length. Their secondary structure includes four short double-helical elements and three loops (D, anti-codon, and T loops). Further hydrogen bonds mediate the characteristic L-shaped molecular structure. tRNAs have two regions of fundamental functional importance: the anti-codon, which is responsible for specific mRNA codon recognition, and the 3' end, to which the tRNAs corresponding amino acid is attached (by aminoacyl-tRNA synthetases). tRNAs cope with the degeneracy of the genetic code in two manners: having more than one tRNA (with a specific anti-codon) for a particular amino acid; and 'wobble' base-pairing, i.e. permitting non-standard base-pairing at the 3rd anti-codon position.
Source: RNAcentral
GUCUCUGUGGCGCAAUUGGUUAGCGCGUUCGGCUGUUAACCGAAAGGUUGUUGGUUCGAGUCCAACCAGGGACG